This 830-nucleotide long non-coding RNA is filed under the name Felis catus (domestic cat). RNAcentral's name for it is "lncRNA (ENSFCAG00000046657.2)". Lineage: Eukaryota; Metazoa; Chordata; Mammalia; Carnivora; Felidae. The record is from RNAcentral.
AUGGCUGAUUUUGUGGGAGAAGACAGGCACACAAAAGAGGUUUCAACUUACGUGGAAAGGAAAGGUUUGGGUGUCCUAAUUGUGGAUGAUCUGUUAAAACUAGCAAGAGGAUUGAGGACAUCAAAGCAAAGGAACAAUAUGGUGCUAGAUUUCCGCAGUGCAAUAUCUGAAGGAAGCUGUAGGCCUCACAGCCCCUGUAGGUGCAGGGCUGUCAAGGAGUCAUCUCGGAGCCUCGUUUACCUCCUGCCCAACCCCUGGCCCCCUGAAAAGGGGUUCGUCAGUGACCUGCUUGUGAGUCCCCAGCAUCUAGUGAUGACACAGACAAAAACUGGAUUCAAAGCCAUGAACAUGAUGAAUACUGCCUCCCGGCCAGGUCCAGCUCACCUGACUGCCCAUCCUUGAUAACCAUGCAAGAACAGCACUGAAGGGGCUCAGUGGCACAUCCAUCCUGAUAGAGAAGCAAGUGGAUCCUGAUAGGCACAUGAACCCUGAUAGCAACCUAUAUCCUAGUAGCAACAACACAUAUGGUAAAUUGAAAUAUUGUUCCUGAAUAUUAUACUUCCCUAUAGCACUGAUGUCAGGUCAGUUCAUGAGAUUUCCUCUGGCCAAUGAAAUGUAAGCAGAAGUGGCAUGUGUCAUUUCCAGGCGGUCACUUGUAGACCCAGUGUGUGGUUUGCCGUUUCUCCUUUUUCGCAGCGACGAGACUGGCAAUGUUCCAGAUAGAGGCUGUUCUAUCAGCCAGUGUCCCGGGUUAAAGCAAUAUGAGCAAAGCUGUACUGACUUGUAAUGAGCAUGAAGCACAAUGAGAAAUAAAUCUUUGCAGUUAGCCA